CACAAGAGCCUGCUAGUUUCAGAGUCCUGAUGUUCUGUCCCUUCUUGCAACUCUCCAAAAAAUUGACCCAAAAGAAAUUCCAAAUAUACUUCUGUUCUACGGCCAUUAACCUCCAUGCUAUCACACAACAACGAAACUACCACCCCAAGUUUUGUGCAAAUCAGCAGGUAAAAAAGCACAGGUCCAGCAUCAUGUUCAAAGACAUGAUGUUCAAAGCGAUAAUGUUCAAAGACACAUAUGCUAGCAUUUUCCAAUGAUUUCAAGUACCCAAGGCUGGGCAGCGCCGCGCCAUUGAGUUGCCUUCAGGGAAUUGUCAGUUCUGGACUAUGUGUGGCUGCAGUUUUCUGGAGCUCAAUGAUGGAAGGCCCUUUGUUCGUGUCUUCUUUCACUCCUUUGGGACUAGUAUUCACUACCCUUGCUGGAUCCCUCUUUCUAAAAGAGGAGCUGUGUUUGGGAAGGUUAUGAUAUGGGGAAAAGGCAAGGAGGCAACUGCAUCUCAAGAUGGAGAAACUGAAAGCAGGAGGGAUGAAGUAACCGAUGGUAGCCAGGCUGCGCCUCUCAUUGUCCCCGGCCAGUGCACUGAUUAUCAAACAAAUGGGGUUCAUCAACAAUUUAAGCAUGAACAUGUUUUACAAGCUCGGUUAGCAUUGCCAAGAAUUGAUUGAAUAUUGCUGAGCCACUGUAUCCUUUUCUUUUUCCUUUUUUUGUCUUAGCAUUUUCUGUUAAAACAGUAGGCGAAUGGAUCUGAAUUCUGUUUCUGUAAUUCGAAAGAUGAAGAGCCACUCUCUUCUCAGCGCAUUUUUUUAGCUUUUCAAAUGUAAACUAUCCUGAAGAGUUAUAAUUGCUCUUGAUUGUGGAACCUGCAUAAUUGCUUUAGGUGUUUUGCUUUUGCGUUCUUCCUUC
Molecule: long non-coding RNA, 903 nt
Organism: Coffea arabica (coffee)
Lineage: Eukaryota; Viridiplantae; Streptophyta; Magnoliopsida; Gentianales; Rubiaceae
Source: RefSeq, a predicted model, not a curated record